This is a non-coding RNA of Gorilla gorilla gorilla (western lowland gorilla), 1982 nucleotides long. The record is from the annotation of a RefSeq genome assembly. NCBI's taxonomy places the organism in Eukaryota, Metazoa, Chordata, Mammalia, Primates, Hominidae.
GAGAGGAGCCUUAGCCCUGGGAUUCCAAGGCCUUUCCACUUGAUGAUCAGCACUGAGCACCGAGGACUCACCAUGGAAUUGGGGCUCCGCUGGGUUUUCCUUGUUGCUAUUUUAGAAGGUGUCCAGUGUGACGUGCAGCUGGUGGAGUCUGGGGGAGGCUUGGUCCAGCCUGGGGGGUCCCUGAGACUCUCCUGUGCAGCCUCUGGAUUCACCUUUAGUAGCUAUUGGAUGAGCUGGGUCCGCCAGGCUCCAGGGAAGGGGCUGGAGUGGGUUUCAUACAUUAGUAGUAGUAGUAGUUACAUAUACUACGCGGACUCAGUGAAGGGCCGAUUCACCAUCUCCAGAGACAACGCCAAGAACUCACUGUAUCUGCAAAUGAACAGCCUGAGAGCCGAGGACACGGCCGUGUAUUACUGUGCGAGAGACACAGUGAGGGGAAGUCACUCCUCACCCUCCCUUUCUCUUUUGUCCUGCGGGUCCUCAGGGAGUGCAUCCGCCCCAACCCUUUUUCCCCUCGUCUCCUGUGAGAAUUCCCCGUCGGAUACGAGCAGCGUGGCCGUUGGCUGCCUCGCACAGGACUUCCUUCCUGACUCCAUCACUUUCUCCUGGAAAUACAAGAACAACUCUGACAUCAGCAGCACCCAGGGCUUCCCAUCAGUCCUGAGAGGGGGCAAGUACGCAGCCACCUCACAGGUGCUGCUGCCUUCCAAGGAGGUCAUGCAGGGCACAGACGAACACGUGGUGUGCAAAGUCCAGCACCCCAACGGCAACAAAGAAAAGAACGUGCCUCUUCCAGUGAUUGCUGAGCUGCCUCCCAAAGUGAGCGUCUUCGUCCCACCCCGCGACGGCUUCUUCGGCAACCCCCGCAAGUCCAAGCUCAUCUGCCAGGCCACGGGUUUCAGUCCCCGGCAGAUUCAGGUGUCCUGGCUGCGCGAGGGGAAGCAGGUGGGGUCUGGUGUCACCACGGACCAGGUGCAGGCUGAGGCCAAAGAGUCUGGGCCCACGACCUACAAGGUGACUAGCACACUGACCAUCAAAGAGAGCGACUGGCUCAGCCAGAGCAUGUUCACCUGCCGCGUGGAUCACAGGGGCCUGACCUUCCAGCAGAAUGCGUCCUCCAUGUGUAGCCCCGAUCAAGACACAGCCAUCCGGGUCUUCGCCAUCCCCCCAUCCUUUGCCAGCAUCUUCCUCACCAAGUCCACCAAGUUGACCUGCCUGGUCACAGACCUGACCACCUAUGACAGCGUGACCAUCUCCUGGACCCGCCAGAAUGGCGAAGCUGUGAAAACCCACACCAACAUCUCCGAGAGCCACCCCAAUACCACCUUCAGCGCCGUGGGUGAGGCCAGCAUCUGCGAGGAUGACUGGAAUUCCGGGGAGAGGUUCACGUGCACCGUGACCCACACAGACCUGCCCUCGCCACUGAAGCAGACCAUCUCCCGGCCCAAGGGGGUGGCCCUGCACAGGCCCGAUGUCUACUUGCUGCCACCAGCCCGGGAGCAGCUGAACCUGCGGGAGUUGGCCACCAUCACGUGCCUGGUGACAGGCUUCUCUCCCGCGGACGUCUUCGUGCAGUGGAUGCAGAGGGGGCAGCCCUUGUCCCCGGAGAAGUAUGUGACCAGCGCCCCAAUGCCUGAGCCCCGGGCCCCAGGCCGGUACUUCGCCCACAGCAUCCUGACCGUGUCCGAAGAGGAAUGGAACACGGGGGAGACCUACACCUGCGUGGUGGCCCAUGAGGCCCUGCCCAACAGGGUCACCGAGAGGACCGUGGACAAGUCCACCGGUAAACCCACCCUGUACAACGUGUCCCUGGUCAUGUCCGACACAGCUGGCACCUGCUACUGACCCUGCUGGCCUGCCCACAGGCUCGGGGCGGCUGGCCGCUCUGUGUGUGCAUGCAAACUAACCGUGUCAAUGGGGUGAGAUGUUGCAUCUUAUAAAAUUAGAAAUAAAAAGAUCCAUUCAAAAGAUACUGGUCCUGA